Molecule: ribosomal RNA, 497 nt
Filed under: uncultured bacterium
Lineage: Bacteria
Description: partial 16S ribosomal RNA
Rfam family: Bacterial small subunit ribosomal RNA
Source: RNAcentral
GAUGAACGCUGGCGGCGUGCCUAAUACAUGCAAGUCGAGCGAACAGACGAGGAGCUUGCUCCGCGGACGAUAGCGGCGGACGGGUGAGUAACACGUGGAUAACCUACCUAUAAGACUGGGAAAACCUCGGGAAACCGGAGCUAAUACCGUAGAAGAUAUUGAACCGCAGGGGUGAAUAGUAAAAUACGGUUUUGCGGUCACGUAUAGAGGGAUCUCGGCCGCAUUGGCUAGUUGUGAGGGUAACGGCUUACCAAGGCGAGGAUGCGUAGCCGACCUGUGAGGCUGGUCGCCCACACUGGAGCUGGGACACGGUCCAGGCUCCUACGGGAGGCACCAGUCGCCUAUGUUCCGCAGUGGUCGGGAGCCUUGCGGAGCAGCGCCACGUCUGUGGUGAAGGUCUUCCGAUCGUGAAGCUCUGUUUUUAGUGAAGAACCGCUGUGUCCUUAGCUGUACCCGGCUUGACGGUACCUGAUCAGAAAGCAACGGCUAACUACGUG